GGGGAUAACUACUGGAAACGGUGGCUAAUACCGCAUAACGUCGCAAGACCAAAGAGGGGGACCUUCGGGCCUCUUGCCAUCAGAUGUGCCCAGAUGGGAUUAGCUUGUUGGUGAGGUAACGGCUCACCAAGGCGACGAUCCCUAGCUGGUCUGAGAGGAUGACCAGCCACACUGGAACUGAGACACGGUCCAGACUCCUACGGGAGGCAGCAGUGGGGAAUAUUGCACAAUGGGCGCAAGCCUGAUGCAGCCAUGCCGCGUGUAUGAAGAAGGCCUUCGGGUUGUAAAGUACUUUCAGCGGGGAGGAAGGUGUUGUGGUUAAUAACCGCAGCAAUUGACGUUACCCGCAGAAGAAGCACCGGCUAACUCCGUGCCAGCAGCCGCGGUAAUACGGAGGGUGCAAGCGUUAAUCGGAAUUACUGGGCGUAAAGCGCACGCAGGCGGUCUGUCAAGUCGGAUGUGAAAUCCCCGGGCUCAACCUGGGAACUGCAUUCGAAACUGGCAGGCUUGAGUCUUGUAGAGGGGGGUAGAAUUCCAGGUGUAGCGGUGAAAUGCGUAGAGAUCUGGAGGAAUACCGGUGGCGAAGGCGGCCCCCUGGACAAAGACUGACGCUCAGGUGCGAAAGCGUGGGGAGCAAACAGGAUUAGAUACCCUGGUAGUCCACGCCGUAAACGAUGUCUACUUGGAGGUUGUGCCCUUGAGGCGUGGCUUCCGGAGCUAACGCGUUAAGUAGACCGCCUGGGGAGUACGGCCGCAAGGUUAAAACUCAAAUGAAUUGACGGGGGCCCGCACAAGCGGUGGAGCAUGUGGUUUAAUUCGAUGCAACGCGAAGAACCUUACCUGGUCUUGACAUCCACGGAACUUUCCAGAGAUGGAUUGGUGCCUUCGGGAACCGUGAGACAGGUGCUGCAUGGCUGUCGUCAGCUCGUGUUGUGAAAUGUUGGGUUAAGUCCCGCAACGAGCGCAACCCUUAUCCUUUGUUGCCAGCGGUCCGGCCGGGAACUCAAAGGAGACUGCCAGUGAUAAACUGGAGGAAGGUGGGGAUGACGUCAAGUCAUCAUGGCCCUUACGACCAGGGCUACACACGUGCUACAAUGGCGCAUACAAAGAGAAGCGACCUCGCGAGAGCAAGCGGACCUCAUAAAGUGCGUCGUAGUCCGGAUUGGAGUCUGCAACUCGACUCCAUGAAGUCGGAAUCGCUAGUAAUCGUGGAUCAGAAUGCCACGGUGAAUACGUUCCCGGGCCUUGUACACACCGCCCGUCACACCAUGGGAGUGGGUUGCAAAAGAAGUAGGUAGCUUAACCUUCGGGAGGGCGCUUACCACUUUGUGAUUCAUGACUGGGGUGAAGUCGUAACAAGGUAACCGUAGGGGAACCUGC
This 1380-nucleotide ribosomal RNA is filed under the name Salmonella enterica subsp. enterica serovar Montevideo. RNAcentral's name for it is "bacterial SSU rRNA". It matches the Rfam family "Bacterial small subunit ribosomal RNA", at positions 139 to 1515 of the family's 1533-position model. Lineage: Bacteria; Pseudomonadati; Pseudomonadota; Gammaproteobacteria; Enterobacterales; Enterobacteriaceae. The record is from RNAcentral.